GGGGGGCCAGAGAGUAGGGGGGGCCAGAGAGUAGGGGGGGCCAGAGAACUAGGGGGCCAGAGAGUAGGGGGCCAGAGAGUAGGGGUGUAUUUGAGAUUAGACGCUCCAGGGUCAUGAAGCACACAGGUGGAGUAGACGAGCCCUGAUGUCCCGUAGAAAAUAACUGACGAUCCACAGCAAAACAGCCAGGCCAGACUAGACGAUCCAGAGAAAAACAGCCAGGCCAGACUAGACGAUCCAGAGCAAAACAGCCAGGCCAGACUAGACGAUCCACAGCAGAACAGCCAGGCGAUCCAGACCUGACUAGACGAUCCACAGCAGAAGAGCCAGGCGAUCCUGACGAUUCAGCCGGAGCAGCCUCGGCAACCACAGUGGGUACACUCUAUAAUCCUCCCCUGGAGAGAGAGAGAAACAGAGAGACAGAGAGAGAGAGAAACAGAGACACAGCGAGAGAGAGAGAGAGAGAGAGAGAGACAGAGACAGAGACAGAGACAGACAGAGAAACAGAGAGAGACAGAGACAGACAGAGAAACAGAGAGAGACAGAGAAACAGAGAGAGAGAGAGACAGAGACAGAGACAGA
Molecule: long non-coding RNA, 582 nt
Filed under: Salmo salar (Atlantic salmon)
Lineage: Eukaryota; Metazoa; Chordata; Actinopteri; Salmoniformes; Salmonidae
Description: lncRNA (ENSSSAG00000098348.1)
Source: RNAcentral